Molecule: long non-coding RNA, 5423 nt
Filed under: Marmota monax (woodchuck)
Lineage: Eukaryota; Metazoa; Chordata; Mammalia; Rodentia; Sciuridae
Source: RNAcentral
CUCCUGAUUGUGCCCAGCCAGACUGCGGCAUUUGGUNAGACUUUGGUUUUUAAGACUUUCCUGCUCAGCAGCCCAGAUUCCUCCUCCCUCCCCAGCUUCUCACCACAGCAGUUGAGCAAGCAAGACGGCAGCAAGCAGAGUUUGUUAGAGGGAAAAAACGAGAAAGAAACCUCCACCAAAGGAGAAAGAAACAUCCACCUUCAGUUCUUUGUUUCCCUUAUGAGGUGGUACGUAUUUCUAGUUAGGCAUUGUGAUUCUGUACUGCAGAGUUGCAACCAUGUUAAGACUGAGUUGUGGAAGUCCCACUUUUAUACUAAUGGCUUCAUGUUGUUAUUUUCUCUGCUCUGAGAAAAUCUGUACCACAAAAUGACUGCCCAGCCAUCAGAUGUAAGUGUUCUGAGCUGUGAUGUUUCUGGAGUGUAGUGAAGGCAUUAUUAACUGAUAACAUUGUCAACUUGCUGUGGGUUUGUUGGUACAGAACCCCAUUGUAAGUUUUAGAAGUUCGUCCCAAUAUGGAACCCUGAGGACUCAACCCAUUUAAUUUUUUCUAAAUGUUAGUCUCACAUUUUAACAUUUCUGAAAUGAGGUUAGUCAGUGACUUGAUGAUUUAAAUUAGCGGGCUUUUCUCUUACUAGCGCAUAAAAUGUCUUUCCCUCAGUUGUGUCUUGGAUUUGAAGAAGCAGUGGCACCAGGAGGAGGGGUUGAGUGACCAGUGGGUCAUCCAUUUGAGGACUGGGGAGAGGGGUUCUGGAUGGUUACAGUUGACAUUGAGCUCUCUGGGGGCAGAAGGCAGGAGUCAGCUUGCCAUCCCACCUUGUGGAUGUUGUGGAUCUGAUUUUUCCUAGUAGCCUUUAUCAGCUGUCAUUGUUAGCAUUUUGUUGCAAGAUUUAAAGUGCUCAUAAUGUGAAGGAAAGCACAUAGCACAGACAAAUGUGUAGGAGCUGAGCUAUCUAUUUAAAGGGGGAAAAAUCUCUGUCCUCAUGGGGCUUGUGUGGGAAGAAUGUUUAGGGUUAAUGUUGUGUGUAUAUACCUCUGUGUCUCCAUGUGUGCAUUUAGGCCUUUUGUUUACAAAAGAAAACAACGUGCCUGAUGGCUAAUAGUGCUCAUUUAAAUAGUAAAUUCCUGUCUUAGAAAGCAUAUACAGGAAUUCCAACCACAAUUAAAGAAAAAGAAAUGGUAUAAAAUUGUAUUAAAACAAAGAAUAGAGAAUCCAGGAAUAGACCUAUAGAUAAACUCCCAGCAGUGCCAGGUUUCUGUUCUCGUGACUAAAAGGCUCAGGGGUCACUCCAGUUAAACUGGGCUAACUGGGCUGCACGAAAUAACCACACAAGAGACACAAAUACCUUUUUCUUUGGGGUCACUGUGACGGCUCCUCUGACCUUAAGGGUCUGCAGGAAGAGAGAGCGAGAGCACGCGCUGACCCCUUUUAUUGAGGAGAAGCUAUUCAAAUGAGGCAAGGAGUCAGGUUUCAGGGGGCUGAGUCUAUCUUCAUGAUGUCCACUGUCAGCAGGUUGACUGACACCUGGGUAGGCCACACCCAAGGGCACAGUAAGAGAAGGGGACACACACAAGGCACUUCCAUGGAAGAUUCUAUCCUAAACAGGGCAAGGGGUUAGAUUACAAAGGAACAGGUGAGCAUAACUUCAUCUACGGAGCUGUAGCAAGACACACCCAUGCACAAGACACCGACCCUCGCACCCAAGAAGGGUGGGGAAAGCUCUGCCACAUUUCUGCGACUGAGCGCCUCAGCACCCAGCUGGGGAGUGUAACCCAGUCCCGUGUAAGGUUGGUCUCCCACACAGCAUUUUUUUUUAAACUAUUGGGACUUGAACCCAGUGCUUCUCACAUACUAGGGAUGCACUAUACCACUGAACUACAUCCUUAGCCCUUUUUAACUUCUUAUUUAGAGACAGGGCUUGCCAGUCUGGCCUUGAACUGAUCCUCCAGCCUCUGCCUCCUGAGUUGCUGGGAUUGUAGGGAUGCACCACUGUGCCUGACUCCAGCAGGUUUUUUGACAAAGGAACAAAACUUUGAAGAUGUGCUAGCCUCUUCACCUAAUCGUGCUAGAGCACCUGGGUGUUGGUGGUGAAGAGAGGCGUAUUUUGUCUUUGUCCCCGUUGGCUGACACAGAGCUGAUGGCAUUGGCAUUUCCUCAUGGGAGUAUCUUGUAUGAAAGGAGCCCUUUCAACUGCACUGAAGUUUGUGCUAGUGAGAUGUCUUGGGUGGGUGGCCUACCUUGUAUCGGGAGGGGUGCUGGUUGUGAGAAUUUGAAGCCCCGUGAGACUCAGAGAGCUUCUAGGUUGGUGAACACAGUGCGUGCUCUGAGUGUCUUGUGCCCUGAGGGGCACAUCAGCCAAACCUUUUCCUGGUUUCUUCCAUUUAGCUGUACCCUUUGUAAUAAACUGGUAAAUAUGAUUGUUCUCCUAUGUUCUGUGAGUUCUAACAACUUAAUUGAACCUGAGGUGGGGACCAAGAGGCCCCCUAGCACAAGUGUGGGUAGCCUGUAGCUGUGCACAGUGGCUCAUGCCUAUAAUCCCAGUGACUUGGAAGGCUGAUGCAGGACGAUCACAAGUUCAAGGCCAGCCUCAGUAAUUUAGUGAGAUCCUAAGCAACUCGGCAAGACCCUGCCUCAAAAUAAAAGAUUAAAAAGGGCUGGGAUGUGGCUCAGUGUUGAAGUGCCCCUUGCUUAAAUCUCCAAUACCUCCCCCCCCAAAAAAAAAUAAAGGUGGGAGGUAGAUAGCUUGUGGUGUCUGAAACAGGACUGAGGCUUUACUUUCCAGUUUGCAGUGAUUCUGGGUAGAGUAUCUGAAAAGGAUUGAACACUUGGACACCCAGUUAGUGUUGCAGAAUUGUUGGUUUGGGAACAAACCAUUCAUUGGUGUCAGAGAACGAGACACCUCAACAACUAUAAUGGCAAAAGGACCUCAACAUAAACCUCACAUCUUACUCAAAAAUGAAAUUAGUGGUGGACUUAAAUGCAAAAGGUAAAACUAUUGUAAAGUUUUUAGGAAAAAUAUAGGAGGAAUCCUUUAAGACUUAGGGAGUAGACAAAGAGUUGUUAAAAUUGACACCAAAAGCAUGAUCCGUAAAAGGAAAAUUUGCUGAAUUGGAUGUCAUCUAAGUUUAAAUUCUUUGUUCUGCUGGAGAGCCUGUUAAGGACAUCAGAAGUCAGGCAACAGACUAGGAGAAAAUGUUACCAAAAUACAUAAUUUUUCUAUUAGACUACCAAUUCUCAGGGGCAGAUGGAGAGUGGUCUUACUAAUUUAUCUUUAAUGUUGCUUAACAUAUGUAUUUUUUAAUCAUUAUUGGAAAUAGUUCAGUUCACAGUGGGAUAAUUUAGACAGAAUAACUUAUUGCCCACCAAUAUUUGAGGAGAUCAUAUCAUUUAAGAUGUUGGCUAAAUAUUUGCCCAGUCCAUGGUGUAUGUAAUGAUGACACAUGAUUACAUAUAUAAGUGGUAUCAGUUUCAAUUCCUGAAGCUGCUAUUCUAUUUCAGGAUCUUAAUACUAUUCCCUUUGGGUAAAGUGUCCUAACAAGUCAUUAAUCUAUUUCUUCUAAAUUUUUCUAUUCCCCACCUUUUCCACAAAUCACCUAUAUGCUUUCAAGUUGUCUUCCUAUAUUCACAGCUCUAAUCAGAAUUUGACCAAAUUAUGCUAUUUUUUAAUAUUUAUUUUUUAGUUGUAGUUGGACACAAUAUCUUUAAUUAAUUUAUUUUUAUGGGGUGCUGAGGAUCAAACCCAGGGCUUCGCCUGUGCUAGGCAAGCGCUCUACCGCUGAGCCACAACCCCAGCCACAAAAUUAUGCUAUUUUCAUAUAUUAAUAUACCGUAAUGAAUUUCACCUUUAUGUAUAUCUGUAAAGCACCAAGUUAAAAAGUACUAUAAAUAAAUAGAAAGGAUACCAGUAAAGUAGAGGAAAGGGAACAGGGAGAGGGAGGAGGGAAGGCUAAGAGGGAGUACUGGGGACUGAAGAGGAACAAAUCAUAUUCAAUACAUGUUCAUAGAUAUGUAAAUAUACCUCAAAUGCUUUUUCUUUUUUUAAUAUGUAUUUUUUAGUUGUAGUUGGACACAAUAACCUUUAUUUAUUUUUAUGCAGUGCUGAGAACCGAACCCAGGGCCUCACAUGUGCUAGGUGAGCACUCUACCACUGAGCCACAAUCCCAGCCCCCCUUUUUCUUUUUUAAAUCAGAAAAUAGGCAAAAGGAAUUGAGCGGAUAUUGUACUGAAGAGGAUAUACAGAUAACGAAUAACCAAGAAAAUACACUCAACAUUAGCCAUUAGGGAAAUGUAAAUCAAAAACCACAGUGAGAUAUGACUACAUACAGAAUGGCUAAAAUGAACAAUAAUGAUAACACCAAAUGUCAGUAAGAAUGUGGAGAAACUGAGUCAUGCAUAUGUUGGUGGUGGGAAUGUAAAAUGGUUCAGCUACUUUGGGAAUUUUUUCUUUUUUCUUUUUUUUUUAACAAUACUGGUGUACUUAUAUGCAACCUAGAGGUUGCAUUCUUAUGCAUUUAUCUCGCCCAAACUGAACACAAAACCCCGUGUAUGGAUGUUCAUAGCACCUGUAUUUUCUAGUAGCAAAAUAUUGAAAACCCAAUGCCUUUCAGCCAGGGAAUGCUUAAAAUUAUUGUAUACUAUUGAAUAAUACUUAACAGUAAAAAAAAGAACAAACUAUUGAUACACACUGAAGAUCUAAAGCUAAUUACCUUCAGUGAAAAGAGCCAGACGCAAAAGAGGCUGGGGCUGGGGUUGUGGCUUAGAGGAAAGAUGGCUCACAUAGCAUGCAAGUCACUGGGUUCCAUCCUCAGCACCACAUUAAAAAAAAAAAGGUAUUAUGCCCACCUACAAGUAAAAUGGUUUUUCUUUUCUUUUCUUUCUUUUUCUUUUUCUUUUUUUUUCUUUUUUUUUUUUUUUUUAAGGCAUAGACUGUUAGUUACAUCUAUAUGACAUCCUGUAGAGAGAAACCUGUACCAGGGACUACACAUCCAUUACUGCCAGGGGAUGUGGGUGGGGAAGGUUUGAUUAACUGCCCAGGGGGCAGUAGAACUAAUCUUUGUCGUGAUUGUGUUAUGAGAGUUAAAAUUCUCAACUGAAUUCAAAAAAGUCUCCUCUCUACUUCUUUGUCCCUAUGUGUGUCAUCCCUGGCUCUAGGACUCUUGGUCCCUUCUCUGCGUGUGUUACCCAGGCUCUUCUGGUGGCGGACACUCUCCAGUCUCUGGUUUUUCUGUCUCUCUUUGCCAGUCUUUUGUCUCCGCCUCUCACUUUUCGGGGGGUCGGGGGCGCUUUUCUAUAGGCGUUUGUUUACCUGUUGCCAUGGUAUCGAAGUGACGAAGGCUCAAUUGGGAACGACGCAGGGAAGCCCUAUCCUGAUUGGCUGGCUCCUGUCAGCGGCCCCGCCCCGCCCGCGAGGACCGGCCCACAGCAU